Molecule: ribosomal RNA, 478 nt
Filed under: Hynobius katoi (Akaishi salamander)
Lineage: Eukaryota; Metazoa; Chordata; Amphibia; Caudata; Hynobiidae
Description: partial 16S ribosomal RNA
Rfam family: Bacterial large subunit ribosomal RNA
Source: RNAcentral
UGCAAUUAAGGUAUAAGAGGUCCUGCCUGCCCAGUGACACUAAGUUUAACGGCCGCGGUAUUAUGACCGUGCAAAGGUAGCGUAAUCACUUGUCUUUUAAAUAAAGACCAGUAUGAAUGGCAAGACGAAAGUUCAACUGUCUCCCUAAAUUAAUCAAUGAAAUUGAUCUUUCCGUGCAGAAGCGGAAAUAUAACUAUAAGACGAGAAGACCCUAUGGAGCUUUAAACACAUAAUCAAUUGUAAAACAUAAAACCCGAAAGAUUAAAUAUAAAAUAAAACAAUCUGAUUAAAAUUUUAGGUUGGGGCGACCACGGAGAAAAACAAAACCUCCGAGAUGAAGAGAAUAUCUUAAUUAAAGAACUACAGUUCUAAAAAAUAAAAUAUUUAACAUAAUUGAUCCAAUAUAUUGAUCAACGAACCAAGUUACCCUAGGGAUAACAGCGCAAUCCUCUCCAAGAGUCCCUAUCGACGAGCGGGU